This 482-nucleotide ribosomal RNA is filed under the name uncultured bacterium. Its description in RNAcentral is "partial 16S ribosomal RNA". It matches the Rfam family "Bacterial small subunit ribosomal RNA", at positions 30 to 507 of the family's 1533-position model. The record is from RNAcentral.
AUUGAACGCUGGCGGCAUGCCUUACACAUGCAAGUCGAACGGUAACAGGUCUUCGGAUGCUGACGAGUGGCGAACGGGUGGGUAAUACAUCGGAACGUGCCCGAUCGUGGGGGAUAACGAGGCGAAAGCUUUGCUAAUACCGCAUACGAUCUACGGAUGAAAGCGGGGGAUCUUCGGACCUCGCGCGGACGGAGCGGCCGAUGGCAGCUUAGGGAGUUGGUGGGAUAAAAGCUUACCAAGCCGACGAUCUGUAGCUGGACUGAGAGGAGGAUCAGCCACACUGGGACUGAGACACGGCCCAGACGCCUACGGGAGGCAGCAGUGGGGAAUGUUGGACAAUGGGCGAAAGCCUGAUCCAGCCAUGCCGCGUGCAGGAUGAAGGCCUUUGGGUUGUGAACUGCUUUUGUACGGAGCGAAAAGCCUCUUUCUAAUAAAGAGGGGUCAUGACGGUACCGUAAGAAGAAGCACCGGCUAACUACGUG